This is a long non-coding RNA of Chelonia mydas (Green sea turtle), 2538 nucleotides long. RefSeq lists it as uncharacterized. The transcript has 2 exons. The record is from RefSeq and is a predicted model, not a curated record. Lineage: Eukaryota; Metazoa; Chordata; Testudines; Cheloniidae.
CGGCAGUGGAUCUAAGCGAGCCAUAACCUCCAUCACCAGAUGUUCCGCUGAUUGCGCAAAAAACAUGUAAGGAGUCGUGCAUCCAGGGAGAAUGCAUCGUAUCUUCUUGGUACAUCUAAACAAAACCAAGAUAUCAAUGGGAAGACAAAGAGUACCAACUAGUAGCCGAAUCUUUGGAGGAUACCACCACUGAAGAUCUGGUAACACAUAACGUUUGUGGCACCUUACAUGCUAUAAGAAAUGCACACAAACUGUAUAUGGAAAGGUUGGAGAGAAAGUACAUCAAGCAACAGGAAAAUGGAUGGGACAUGUGCCAGCUGUGGGCAAGACUUGCCUUAUACUAAGUCCCAAGGUCUGUGUUUAGACAAGAACACCUGCUUCUUCUGUGGUUAGCCCAAAGGCAUUCAUUAUGCACAGUUUCCACAUGUGAGACAUGGCAUUAUGAAGCUGCUGCCAUGCAUGUUCAGUGAAGUUUCUGUGUUGCUCUCACGAAGAGGCUGACGCUAGAAUUAUCUUGCGUGCCAUCAAUACCACAAAGAGAGGUGCAUCUGAACUCCAAAUUUUUGCACUAAGACUCAGAUGUUCUAGCGCUCUGUGCAAUUGUGACAGAAUGCACCCCAUACUCGCACCCUACUGUAAUACUCUUUGUACAAAGUAUGCCUUGAGAGGUAUCAUCUGAAAACUCAUAACUUGCUGAUCAGUAAUAUCAUGGUAAAAUGCAUGUAGCAACAUUAUGUGUAAAGUUAUGAACAUAAGCUGACAUCAUGACUGAAGUGUGUUUCCCAGAUAAGUCUGAGGAGGGGCUAAGCCAGUUUCUCUAAAACAAAGGGCAAGCUGAUGGGACAUAACCUAUCAAGUGGACAUUCUUUGGCAAGAAAAGGGGACAUGGACAAAGAGAUCUGCAUCUUAGCAAAAAAACAGCUGGAGGUGUCCUUCCUCCAUCAGACCUCCAUCUCCUGGUUCUCAGAUAGAAAUGUUUUCCAAGGGGGAGAAUUGAAAUUAUAAAAAGGAGGAGCAAACACCCCAAGAGACCUGUUCCUCUCUCUCCCCCUGUCUAUUUCAUAAUUUUGCACCUGAGAAGGCGAAAGAAACAGCCGCUAGACUCUGGGGAAGGGGCCCUGAACGGAAGAGUUUGGUCAGUAACACUCUUGGAAGCAUGUGGUGAGAAAUUUUGCUUUGAAUCUAAUAUAGUUUGUUAAGAUAGGCACUAGAAGGUGUUAUCUUUGUUUUUCUAGUAAUCAUUUUGACUUUUAUGCCUCAUUCCUUGUACUCACUUAAAAUCUCUCUUUUUAUAGUUAAACUUGUUUUACCUAAUCAGUGUGUUUAUCUUAAAGUGUCUGGGUAACUAUUUAAGAUAACAAGCUAGCGUAUAUUAUUCCCUUAAAGGAAUAAUGGACUUAAUAUAUCUGAACUGUCUAGGAGAGGGCUGAGCAGCACAGGACAUAUAUUUUAGGGGGGAAAUUUGCGAUUGGGAAUAUGUUGGGGUCACCCUGCAGAAGUAACCCAAGUGUGGCUGGAAGUUUGCAGUUAUGCACAGACACACAGGACAUGGGUGGCAUGCUGGAAGGCUGUUUGUGAGCAGCCCAGGUGGGAGCUACAGCACCAAGACACUGUAAGGUACCUAAGGUUACAGGACAAUGGUGAGACAGCCCCUCACUGAUCUGGAUUGCACCGUGGUAUGUCACAGAGAUGCUACCCAAGACUUUCAGAAGAUUCUGUUUUUGUGCCUGCUGCUGAGGAGCAGAAUCGCAGUGUAUCCCUCAGAGACCUGUUCCUAUCACUCGGACCAUUAAAAGCUGCCACUCUGCCAGGUCUCCACGCCCUUUCAGAAUGUGACACUACUGGAGGUUGGUUGGGAAGACCACAUUAUCUUACUGGAAGGCUUUUGUUUCAGCCUCCAAAGACUCUAUCCCGGCUCUGGAGGUGCUUGGAACAGCUGAGACAAUCACUGAUGAGGUCAUAAGUACGCUGGAGGUGUUUACAUGAUGAGUUUGCCGUUUGAAGACCAACAUUACGACACUUGCCGAGUUACAUUGGUAGACAUUUUCCAAGAGGAAGGCAGACGGAACAAAACUGCCACUGAGAAGGGGUGCCAUCUAGAGGGCAAAUUAUCAAGCAAUGGAAUGGGUCUGGGAUGAUCAAACAUAUCCAAAACUACCAUCCCCUAUCAGGCAUGAAGGGGUAUUGGAGGAUGGACUGAUCACACUAGUCAUGUUUGAAAUACCAUGCGCUCCCCAAUCAGUCCUUCAACUAAUCAAAUGUUUGUGCACAAAGACCAGGUGCUCACCACCAUGCAAAUGUUUAGCCAGCAGCCUUCCUUGUACAGAGAAGUCCAAGUGUGAUAUGGACGAGGAUCAGCAUGACAAUGGGUCUAGCAGUGAUGCCUUAGAUGGAGAUGACUUUGAUGAAUAAAUAUUUUCAGUCGUACAUGUCAAGGAUAACUUCCCUAGGGUUGCCAGAGAUCAGUGUCCUUUUUAAUGUAAGCAAUGCAUCCCUGUGUUAGAGUAUCAUUAAAAAAACAUUGAUUUUUCAACAUUU